Molecule: ribosomal RNA, 1970 nt
Filed under: human oral metagenome
Description: bacterial LSU rRNA
Rfam family: Bacterial large subunit ribosomal RNA
Source: RNAcentral
UACGGCGGAUGCCUAGGCGUUUCGAAACGAAGAAGGACGCGAUAAGCUGCGAUAAGCCGUGGUUAGCUGCAAGUAAGCAUUGAUCCACGGAUUUCCGAAUGGGGCAACCCGGCAAGAGUAACGUCUUGUCACCUUAUCUUCGAGAUAAGGAGAAAACACCCGAUGAACUGAAACAUCUAAGUAGUCGGAGGAAAAGAAAUCAAAGAGAUUCCCUGAGUAGCGGCGAGCGAAACGGGAAGAGCCCAAACCAAGAGACUUCGGUUUCUUGGGGUUGCGGACCUGCAACAAACCGGACACUUUAGUGGAAGCAUCUGGGAAGGUGCGGCAAAGAGAGUGAGACCCUCGUACACGAAAGAGUGAAAGGCGGGCAGGGAUCCAGAGUACCACAGGGCACGAGGAACCCAGUGGGAAGCAGGGUGGACCACCAUCCAAGGCUAAAUACAUCGAAACGACCGAUAGUGAAAAGUACCGUGAGGGAAAGGUGAAAAGAACCCCGGGAGGGGAGUGCAAAAGAACCUGAAACCGUAUGUCUGCAAACAGUCGAAGCACAAUUUAACGUGCGACGGCGUGCCUAUUGAAGAAUGAACCGGCGAGUUAAUUUAUGCUGCGAGGUUAAGCAGAAGAUGCGGAGCCGAAGCGAAAGCGAGUCUUAAGAGGGCGAUGAGUAGCAUGGAUUAGACCCGAAACCACAGUGAUCUAUGCAUGUCCAGGUUGAAGCUCAGGUAAAAAUGAGUGGAGGACCGAACCCGUGCGUGUUGAAAAACGUUGGGAUGAGGUGUGCAUAGGGGUGAAAUGCCAAUCGAACGUGGAGAUAGCUGGUUCUCCCCGAAAUAGCUUUAGGGCUAGCCUCAGGCGAAUCACCAUAGAGACGGUAGAGCACUGAUCGGGCAAGGGGGCGUAAAGCCUACCGACCCCAGUCAAACUACGAAUGGCUCAUAUGGGCAGCCUGGGAGUCAGAAUGCGAGUGAUAAGACCCGUAUUCAAGAGGGAAACAGCCCAGACCGCCGGCUAAGGUCCCAAAUGCUGUGCUAAGUGGAAAAGGAUGUAGGACUUCGAAAACAACCAGGAUGUUGGCUCAGAAGCAGCCACCAUUAAAAGAGUGCGUAAUAGCUCACUGGUCGAGAGGCCCUGCGCCGAAAAUAUCCGGGGCUAAAGCACAGAACCGAAGCCGCGGCAGGGUGUACUAAGGUACACACUGGGUAGGGGAGCGUUCUUAUCUGGACGAAGGCAGACCGGAAGGACUGCUGGACGGGUAAGAAGUGAGAAUGCCGGUAUGAGUAGCGAAACGACAGGUGAGAAUCCUGUCCACCGAAAGCCUAAGGGAUCCUGGGCAACGCUCGUCGCCCCAGGGUAAGUCGGGACCUAAGCCGAGGCGAAAAGCAUAGGCGAUGGACAACUGGCGAAAAUUCCAGUACCGGGCGUCUUCGUUUAAGGAUGGAGUGACGCAGGAAGGAAGCUGAGCGCGCGAAUGGUUGGGCGCGUCGAAGGCGGUAGGCUUGUAUGGAGGCAAAUCCCCAUACUAUAAGGCCGAGAACCGAUAGAUAGGAAAGACUACGGUCAAUCUGAAUUCAGCCGCACUACACUGCCAAGAAAAGCUUCUAACGAGAAGACGUCCGCCCGUACCAAAACCGACACAGGUAGGCGGGGAGAGAAUCCUAAGGUGCGCGGGAAAACCCUCGUUAAGGAACUCGGCAAAAUGCAUCCGUAACUUCGGGAAAAGGAUGGCCGUUGAUGGUGAAGACAUUUACUGUUGGAGCUGUUGGCGGCGGCAGAAAAGAGGCCCAAGCGACUGUUUACCACAAACACAGGUGCCUGCGAAAGCGCAAGCUGAAGUAUAGGUGCUGACGCCUGCCCGGUGCAGGAAGGUUAAGGAGAGUUGUUAGUCCUUGCGAUGAAGCAGCGAACUGAAGCCCCUGUAAACGGCGGCCGUAACUAUAACGGUCCUAAGGUAGCGAAAUUCCUUGUCGGGU